GCCGGGAUAGUCUAGUGGUUAUGACGUCUGCCUUACACGCAGAAGGUCGCGGGUUCGACCCCCGCUCCUGGUA
Molecule: transfer RNA, 73 nt
Filed under: Perkinsus olseni
Lineage: Eukaryota; Perkinsozoa; Perkinsida; Perkinsidae
Rfam family: tRNA
About the family: Transfer RNA (tRNA) molecules are approximately 80 nucleotides in length. Their secondary structure includes four short double-helical elements and three loops (D, anti-codon, and T loops).
Source: Rfam by way of RNAcentral